AAAUUGAAGAGUUUGAUCAUGGCUCAGAUUGAACGCUGGCGGCAGGCCUAACACAUGCAAGUCGAACGGUAACAGGAAGCAGCUUGCUGCUUCGCUGACGAGUGGCGGACGGGUGAGUAAUGUCUGGGAAACUGCCUGAUGGAGGGGGAUAACUACUGGAAACGGUGGCUAAUACCGCAUAACGUCGCAAGACCAAAGAGGGGGACCUUCGGGCCUCUUGCCAUCAGAUGUGCCCAGAUGGGAUUAGCUGG
This 251-nucleotide ribosomal RNA is filed under the name Salmonella enterica. RNAcentral describes it as "partial 16S ribosomal RNA". It matches the Rfam family "Bacterial small subunit ribosomal RNA", at positions 1 to 248 of the family's 1533-position model. Lineage: Bacteria; Pseudomonadati; Pseudomonadota; Gammaproteobacteria; Enterobacterales; Enterobacteriaceae. The record is from RNAcentral.